GAGGGUAUAGCUCAGUCGGUAGAGCACCGCCCUUUUAAGGCGGGUGUCCUGGGUUCGAGUCCCAGUGCCCUCA
This 73-nucleotide transfer RNA is filed under the name Chthonomonadales bacterium. RNAcentral's name for it is "tRNA-Lys". It matches the Rfam family "tRNA". Rfam says of the family: Transfer RNA (tRNA) molecules are approximately 80 nucleotides in length. The record is from RNAcentral. Lineage: Bacteria; Bacillati; Armatimonadota; Chthonomonadia; Chthonomonadales.